RNAcentral lists this ribosomal RNA (483 nucleotides) under uncultured bacterium. Its description in RNAcentral is "partial 16S ribosomal RNA". It matches the Rfam family "Bacterial small subunit ribosomal RNA", at positions 28 to 523 of the family's 1533-position model. The record is from RNAcentral.
GACGAACGCUGGCGGCGUGCUUAACACAUGCAAGUCGAACGAUGAAGCCGGAGCUUGCUCCGGUGGAUUAGUGGCGAACGGGUGAGUAACACGUGAGUAACCUGCCCUUGACUCUGGGAUAACUCCGAGAAAUCGGUGCUAAUACCGGAUAUGACCCUGGAAGGCAUCUUCUGGGGUGGAAAGUUUUUCGGUCAAGGAUGGACUCGCGGCCUAUCAGCUUGUUGGUGAGGUAGCGGCUCACGAAGGCAACGACGGGUAGCCGGCCUGAGAGGGUGACCGGCCACACUGGGACUGAGACACGGCCCAGACUCCUACGGGAGGCAGCAGUGGGGAAUAUUGCACAAUGGGCGAAAGCCUGAUGCAGCAACGCCGCGUGAGGGACGACGGCCUUCGGGUUGUAAACCUCUUUUAGUAGGGAAGAAGCGAAAGUGACGGUACCUACAGAAAAAGCACCGGCUAACUACGUGCCAGCCGCCGCUGUAA